RNAcentral lists this ribosomal RNA (825 nucleotides) under uncultured organism. RNAcentral describes it as "bacterial SSU rRNA". It matches the Rfam family "Bacterial small subunit ribosomal RNA", at positions 22 to 845 of the family's 1533-position model. The record is from RNAcentral.
GCUCACGAUGAACGCUAGCGGCAGGCUUAACACAUGCAAGUCGAGGGGUAACAGGUUCCUUCGGGAAUGCUGACGACCGGCGCACGGGUGAGUAACGCGUAUGCAACCUUCCUGUAUCUGGAGGAUAGGCCUUGGAAACGAGGAUUAAUACUGCGUAACACUAUAUUAUCGCAUGGUAAAAUAAUCAAAUCUACGGAGGAUACAGAUGGGCAUGCGUGCCAUUAGCUAGAUGGUAAGGUAAGGGCUUACCAUGGCGACGAUGGCUAGGGGUUCUGCAAGGAAGAUCCCCCACACUGGUACUGAGACACGGACCAGACUCCUACGGGAGGCAGCAGUGAGGAAUAUUGGUCAAUGGAGGCAACUCUGAACCAGCCAAGCCGCGUGAAGGAAGACUGUUCUAUGAAUUGUAAACUUCUUUUGUGACAGAGUAAAGAUAGCUACGCGUAGUUAUUUGCAAGUAUGUCAUGAAUAAGCAUCGGCUAACUCCGUGCCAGCAGCCGCGGUAAUACGGAGGAUGCAGGCGUUAUCCGGAUUUAUUAGGUUUAAAGGGUGUUCAGGCUGUCUGGUAAGUCAGAGGUGAAAGUCGGUUGCUUAACGAUCGAAUUGCCUUUGAAACUGUCAGACUUGAGUAUGGAUGCGGUAGGCGGAAUGUGUAGUGUAGCGGUGAAAUGCAUAGAUAUUACACAGAACACCGAUUGCGAAAGCAGCUUACCAAACCAGCACUGACGCUGAAGCACGAAAGCGUGGGUAGCGAACAGGAUUAGAUACCCUGGUAGUCCACGCAGUAAACGAUGCUCACUCGCUGUUGGCAAUAGAUCGUCAGCG